AGACAAGCCUCGAGCCGUUGUUGGUGCUUGCUCGACGCGGCUUCGGCUUUGAAUGUGGAUUUGAAUUUGUCAAAUGAUAGAUCAUUUGAAACUUGAGAGUUAAUGAUCUUUUAAUCUAAAAAUCUGAUACAAAAAUAUUCUCUACUUGCGGCAUGGAGCAUGUGUGGAGGCAUGUCAUAAUUCACCUUGAAGGAACGCGACCCUUCGAGGCACUGUUUGGAAGCAAAAAUAACUACAUGCAAGCGAAGGUGUGGGUCCUGUGGGUGGCGACGGUCCGGAGCAAUGCAUCUAUUCAAGAACCAUUGCUUCCUUUCUGAAGCUAAAGGCUUCAUCAUUGACUAGA
This 343-nucleotide long non-coding RNA is filed under the name Capsicum annuum. Its description in RNAcentral is "long non-coding RNA (CANN_LNC014762)". The record is from RNAcentral. Lineage: Eukaryota; Viridiplantae; Streptophyta; Magnoliopsida; Solanales; Solanaceae.